This is a long non-coding RNA of Priapulus caudatus, 127 nucleotides long. RefSeq lists it as uncharacterized. NCBI's taxonomy places the organism in Eukaryota, Metazoa, Priapulida, Priapulimorpha, Priapulimorphida, Priapulidae. The transcript has 2 exons. The record is from RefSeq and is a predicted model, not a curated record.
UUCUUGAAGAAUCGGCGAUUCCGGUAGCUCAAUGGUGGCGGCGUACGCUGUGAUUGGCAAGACACAAAGUGUCAAUCCUCGCGCGCGCCUCCGGCAUCAUGGCCGCCAUCAACGUCGAGAUCAACAC